This 492-nucleotide ribosomal RNA is filed under the name uncultured bacterium. Its description in RNAcentral is "partial 16S ribosomal RNA". It matches the Rfam family "Bacterial small subunit ribosomal RNA", at positions 29 to 507 of the family's 1533-position model. The record is from RNAcentral.
AGUGAACGCUGGCGGUAGGCCUAACACAUGCAAGUCGAACGGCAGCACAGUAAGAGCUUGCUCUUACGGGUGGCGAGUGGCGGACGGGUGAGGAAUACAUCGGAAUCUACUUUUUCGUGGGGGAUAACGUAGGGAAACUUACGCUAAUACCGCAUACGACCUACGGGUGAAAGCAGGGGAUCUUCGGACCUUGCGCGAUUGAAUGAGCCGAUGUCGGAUUAGCUAGUUGGCGGGGUAAAGGCCCACCAAGGCGACGAUCCGUAGCUGGUCUGAGAGGAUGAUCAGCCACACGGGAACUGAGACACGGUCCAGACUCCUACGGGAGGCAGCAGUGGGGAAUAUUGGACAAUGGGCGCAAGCCUGAUCCAGCCAUACCGCGUGGGUGAAGAAGGCCUUCGGGUUGUAGAGCCCUUUUGUUGGGAAAGAAAAGCAGCAGGUUAAUACCCCGCUGUUCUGACGGUACCCAAAGAAUAAGCACCGGCUAACUUCGUG